RNAcentral lists this antisense RNA (77 nucleotides) under Pantoea agglomerans. RNAcentral's name for it is "SymR antitoxin". It matches the Rfam family "SymR antitoxin". Lineage: Bacteria; Pseudomonadati; Pseudomonadota; Gammaproteobacteria; Enterobacterales; Erwiniaceae. The record is from RNAcentral.
AGUCAUGAUCUCUAUUCUCACUCAAUAGUGGUUGUGAUUAGCGAUACAGGAGUGCUCCAACACCUCUGUAUCGCGCU